UACAGAGGUCCCAAGCGUUGUUCGGAUUCAUUGGGCGUAAAGGGUGCGUAGGCGGCGCGGUAAGUCUGGUGUGAAAUCUCGGAGCUUAACUCCGAAACUGCAUUCGAUACUGCCGUGCUUGAGGACUGGAGAGGAGACUGGAAUUUACGGUGUAGCGGUGAAAUGCGUAGAUAUCGUAAGGAAGACCAGUGGCGAAGGCGGGUCUCUGGACAGUUCCUGACGCUGAGGCACGAAGGCCAGGGGAGCAAACGGG
This 253-nucleotide ribosomal RNA is filed under the name uncultured bacterium. Its description in RNAcentral is "partial 16S ribosomal RNA". It matches the Rfam family "Bacterial small subunit ribosomal RNA", at positions 524 to 776 of the family's 1533-position model. The record is from RNAcentral.